RNAcentral lists this ribosomal RNA (498 nucleotides) under uncultured bacterium. Its description in RNAcentral is "partial 16S ribosomal RNA". It matches the Rfam family "Bacterial small subunit ribosomal RNA", at positions 30 to 523 of the family's 1533-position model. The record is from RNAcentral.
AUUGAACGCUGGCGGCAUGCCUUACACAUGCAAGUCGAACGGUAACAGGUCUUCGGAUGCUGACGAGUGGCGAACGGGUGAGUAAUACAUCGGAACGUGCCUAGUAGUGGGGGAUAACUACUCGAAAGAGUGGCUAAUACCGCAUGAGAUCUACGGAUGAAAGCAGGGGAUCGCAAGACCUUGUGCUACUAGAGCGGCCGAUGGCAGAUUAGGUAGUUGGUGGGAUAAAAGCUUACCAAGCCGACGAUCUGUAGCUGGUCUGAGAGGACGAUCAGCCACACUGGGACUGAGACACGGCCCAGACUCCUACGGGAGGCAGCAGUGGGGAAUUUUGGACAAUGGGCGAAAGCCUGAUCCAGCAAUGCCGCGUGCAGGAUGAAGGCCUUCGGGUUGUAAACUGCUUUUGUACGGAACGAAAAGCCCCGGGUUAAUACCCUGGGGUCAUGACGGUACUGUAUGAAUAAGGACCGGCUAAUUCCGUGCCAGCCGCCGCAGUAA